CUUCUUGGUAGCAAGAUGGUAAUUCCCCUGUGAAAAUGCAAUCUCCCCAAUCUUCUCCAGAGUCGAUGUCCGCAGUUCCUCUUGAUUCGGAUUACUCUCUACUUUUUCGAGAGUCAAUUUCUCCGCCAAGUCCUCACCACAUCAAUUUGGGCAUGACGUGGCGCCAGCAUUGCCAAGGGCCACAAUUCUUCGGACAUGUCAUUUUCCUGUCGAAGGUCAUCGGUUAAACAUCGUCAAGUUACAUACGAGCUGGCAACACAAACCGAUAGGAAGCUGCCAUUUCGAUGGCCUGGGGAAACUUGUUGCGCGCUUCCAACAUCGAACACAAAAGAUCCAAUCUAUUGGCCUCUCUGAAGAGACGCUCGGCGUCAUCCUGAAGGGAUCAAUAUCACAGCCGCACACAUUGGUUGUUGACGAAGUAUGAAGACAUUGGUAAUGCAGUUUACAGCUAAAAGAGGACUUCGUAAAACCGUAGCACCCCAUGUCACCUGUUUCACAGUACCGUGGAUCAUACAAGUUUCAGGUAUGGUAGGCCAUCCAUUAUCCUCGAUGUCUGAUACGUGCUUAUGUUUCCAUAGAUAAAUUGUUCCCAAAUUUGUACCAGCUGCCAAGGUUUCUUUGAUAAAAACCGAAUUUCAGUAAGGUAAAUCAAGAGUAUUUAGGUUGAGUAAAAAUAUCCAUAGGGACAUACCAUUAUUUUUACAGUAACAUAAACUCGUGCAAAUUUCUUGAGGUGUUGCAAUAUUAGCAUUAGUAGAUUCCGGCGGUGCUAGAACAUAAGUAUCACCGGUAUGUAGAUCCCAACAUCUGAUAGCUAAUUCCCCGGUUAAAACAGCUAGAGUGUUUGUUCCAGCCCAACAGAUAGAUGGUCCAGACCGAGAUAUAUCUGCUUUGCCACUCAAUUUCACCUGGAGAAAAAUUAUGCGAUAGAUGGUCAUUAGCUGAUGAGAAUGUUUGGUAUUGGCAAGAAGUUGGUAAAGAACUGAGUCUUACUUUCGUGAGCUCUGUGAGCCUGCCAGUAAUAGGGUCUGCUUGGAAAUGCCCAAUGUUGAGACCCUCUGUCAUAACAACAACAGAAUCUCUUGUU
Molecule: long non-coding RNA, 1087 nt
Organism: Athalia rosae (coleseed sawfly)
Lineage: Eukaryota; Metazoa; Arthropoda; Insecta; Hymenoptera; Athaliidae
Exons: 4
Source: RefSeq, a predicted model, not a curated record